This 94-nucleotide ribosomal RNA is filed under the name Leishmania braziliensis MHOM/BR/75/M2904. The record is from RNAcentral. Lineage: Eukaryota; Euglenozoa; Kinetoplastea; Trypanosomatida; Trypanosomatidae.
GAUGAUUACACCAAAAAACAUACAACUCCGGGGAGGCUUGUGUUUUCUAGCAAGCCUUUCCCACAGAUACGCAAUACAAUCUAUAUAUAUAUAU